AACGAACGCUGGCGGCAUGCCUAACACAUGCAAGUCGAACGAGAUCUUCGGGUCUAGUGGCGCACGGGUGCGUAACGCGUGGGAAUCUGCCCUUUGGUUCGGAAUAACAGUUGGAAACGACUGCUAAUACCGGAUGAUGACGAGAGUCCAAAGAUUUAUCGCCAGAGGAUGAGCCCGCGUAGGAUUAGCUAGUUGGUGUGGUAAAGGCGCACCAAGGCGACGAUCCUUAGCUGGUCUGAGAGGAUGAUCAGCCACACUGGGACUGAGACACGGCCCAGACUCCUACGGGAGGCGGCAGUGGGGAAUAUUGGACAAUGGGCGAAAGCCUGAUCCAGCAAUGCCGCGUGAGUGAUGAAGGCCUUAGGGUUGUAAAGCUCUUUUACCCGGGAUGAUAAUGACAGUACCGGGAGAAUAAGCUCCGGCUAACUCCGUGCCAGCCGCCGCAGUAA
RNAcentral lists this ribosomal RNA (449 nucleotides) under uncultured bacterium. Its description in RNAcentral is "partial 16S ribosomal RNA". It matches the Rfam family "Bacterial small subunit ribosomal RNA", at positions 29 to 523 of the family's 1533-position model. The record is from RNAcentral.